This 457-nucleotide ribosomal RNA is filed under the name uncultured bacterium. Its description in RNAcentral is "bacterial SSU rRNA". It matches the Rfam family "Bacterial small subunit ribosomal RNA", at positions 338 to 795 of the family's 1533-position model. The record is from RNAcentral.
CCUANGGGGGGCUGCAGUCGAGAAUCUUCCACAAUGGGCGAAAGCCUGAUGGAGCGACGCCGCGUGACUGAUGAAGUCCUUCGGGACGUAAAGGUCUUUUAUAGGGGAGAAAGUCGGGAUUUAUUCCGGCGUGAUAGUACCCUAGGAAUAAGAGGUUGCUAAACUCGUGCCAGCAGCAGCGGUAAUACGAGUGCCUCAAGCGUUAUCCGGAAUUAUUGGGCGUAAAGGGUGUGUAGGCGGUCUUGUUAGUCUUUUGUUAAAACUCGCGGCCUAACCGCGAAAGUGCGAAAGAAACGGCAAGACUAGAGAGUGUGAGAGGUCUGUGGAACUCAUGGUGUAGGGGUGAAAUCCGUUAAUAUCAUGGGGAACACCAAAGGCGAAGGCAACAGACUGGCGCAUUUCUGACGCUGAAACACGAAAGCGUAGGGAGAGAAUGGGAUUAGAUACCCUANUAGUC